AGAGUUUGAUCCUGGCUCAGGACGAACGCUGGCGGUGUGCUUCACACAUGCAAGUCGAACGGAGUAGCAAUACUCAGUGGCGGACGGGUGAGUAACACGUGGGAAUCUACCAUUAGGUGGGGAAUAACAGGCCGAAAGGACUGCUAAUGCCGCAUAUGUAGGCAUCUCGACAGAGAUGUUUAUGAAAGGAGUAAUCCGCCUUUUGAUGAGCCCGCGUCCGAUUAGCUAGUUGGUAGGGUAAAAGCCUACCAAGGCGACGAUCGGUAGGUGGUCUGAGAGGAUGAUCACCCACAAUGGGACUGAGACACGGCCCAUACUCCUACGGGAGGCAGCAGUGGGGAAUUUUACGCAAUGGGGGAAACCCUGACGUAGCGACACCGCGUGAGCGAAGAAGCCCUUUGGGGUGUAAAGCUCUGUCAACAGGAACGAAACAAAUGACGGUACCUGUGGAGGAAGCAUCGGCUAACUACGUGCCAGCAGCCGCGGUAAGACGUAGGAUGCAAGCGUUGUCCGGAUUUAUUGGGCGUAAAGAGUUCGUAGGCGGUUUGUUAAGUCUGAUGUUAAAGACCGGGGCUCAACCUCGGAAAUGCAUUGGACACUGGCAGACUGGAGUGCAGUAGAGGCUAGUGGAAUUCCCAGUGUAGCGGUGAAAUGCGUAGA
This 660-nucleotide ribosomal RNA is filed under the name uncultured bacterium. RNAcentral describes it as "bacterial SSU rRNA". It matches the Rfam family "Bacterial small subunit ribosomal RNA", at positions 8 to 694 of the family's 1533-position model. The record is from RNAcentral.